GCACUGUUUUUCUUCUCCAGCUCAGCCACGCUUCAUUCAGACGACACACAGACACCCUGAAGGGGCCAAACGUCACCCUCAUGGGGAACCAGAAGAAUCCCUGGAUCUCUGCUCUGAUCUUGGUGGGUCUUCUACAUAAAGUUAGUGGACUACCAAAUACCCAGGUCUGUAACCCAGCUGUCAGUGACACUAUACACAACUAUGGUUUGAAAACCCUAAAUGGGACCCAGUACAUCCCAUUCUCCAAUUAUGCUGGAAAGCAUGUCCUCAUUGUCAAUGUGGCCACCUACUGAGGACUCACCUUCCAGUAUCUGGAAUUGAAUGCACUGCAACAGGAGUUACGAGAUGUUGGAUUCGCAGUCUUCGGGUUUCCAUGCAACCAAUUCGGGAUGCAAGAGCCUGGAAAAAAUAAUGAAAUUCUUUCUGCAUUAAAGUAUGUCCGUCCAGGCAAUGGAUUUGUUCCAAAUUUCCAGUUAUUUGAGAAGGUGGAUGUGAAUGGAGUCGAUGAACACGCUCUUUUCAAAUUUUUAAAGAAUGCCUGCCCACCGGUGGGAGACAGCUUCGGUAACCCCACCAACAGAUUGUUUUGGGAACCUCUCAAAAUCAACGACAUCAAGUGGAACUUUGAGAAGUUUCUGGUGGGUCCAGACGGCAGACCUGUGAUGAGGUGGUUUCCCAGAGUGAACGUAUCUGAAGUUAGGGAAGACAUCUUGAAAUACUUCAAGCUUGUUCAAACGGCCGAAUAACUUUAAAUCACUAGAUACUUUUUCUCUCUCUCCAGCAUUAAAUGUGUUCAAAUAGUCAAAACAGGGUUUCUGCAGGUUUUAUGAAGAGAACUUUAUGACCCUUUUAAAAGCAGUAAAGAAAAAAUAAGGAAUAAAUUAAAGGAAAAGCAAUAUGUCAAUAUGUUCUCUAAAUCUUAAGCUCUAGGGUCUAGGUUUUUCCUGUUUUCCCGUUCAGAUGUCUUAAAACAGGAUGUACAGAAAAGCAAAAAGAUAAAUCGAUUGGCUUAGAAAAAUCAAGUUUUCAAGAUAUGUGUUGUUAUUUGAUGUGUCUUGAUUUAAGGCUGUUUAGAUAUUUUUAUUGGGAAAAAGACAAAAAUAGUGAGGAAUAUGAUAUUUUUUCUCUCAAGUGCAUACAUUUAAUGCUAUUAUUUAAUGAAUUUAAGACCUUUCUACUCCGAUUUAAAGCCUUAAUUUGUGGACGGGCGAAGCAAGACUUUUUAAGACCCGCAGAAACCCUGUAAUAGCAAGAUUACAUGUGUUACGAGUUAAAAAAAUGUAAACCUUUGUGAAUUGGAUUAUUGUUACAAGAAUUUGAACAGUAUGAAGUUGAAGUAUAAGGAUUCCUAGACUGCUCCUUCUAGAGGCUGUCAAUGGGUGGGUUUGGAGACUGGCAUGUUGAUGACGGGAAGGCUUGAAAACAGACCCUCUGUGGUGCCUGACCUGAGCUCGAGGGCCAGCGGGCAGCUCUUUAGUGCAUUCAGGCUGCCCUGCUGUUGCUUUUCGAUCAUGUCACAUCUCCUAAACAAUCCUUUGAACUUGCUGCAGCCUCUGUGGACAUUCAGUAAAUAAAGAGUGAAAUGCAA
RNA transcript from Carassius auratus (goldfish), 1588 nucleotides. It is a transcript of the gene named glutathione peroxidase 3-like, with no coding region annotated. The record is from RefSeq and is a predicted model, not a curated record. The transcript has 5 exons. NCBI's taxonomy places the organism in Eukaryota, Metazoa, Chordata, Actinopteri, Cypriniformes, Cyprinidae.